GUGUGUAUGGUGCAGCGGGAACGUUAUAAUUAACCAUCACCUAUAGUCUCAAAAUGUUACGCAAAUUGCCCAUCAAUUUUGCGAAAUGGACUGUAAAAAAGGUGCCAGUUCAGCAGAAAAGAUUUAAUAGUCAACAAAAAGAAAUCUCACCUCAUGUAAGCUUUUCUAAAUACGCUUUAGGUCAUAAAUUUUAUCUGUGCUAAAAUUCAUUCAAGCAUUUUUGCAUUGUUUUAUUUAACAUUAUUUUAUUAACGAUCAUAAAGAUUAUGUUUUAUAAAAACUACGCUAGACCUCUUGGUAAAGUGACGCUUUUUGCCUUAGCAACUUAUUAUGGAUUGGAAAUAGUUUGGUGGAAAUUAGAUGCAUCAGAACAGGAAGCUAUUAAAAACAGUAAGUUGUUGAUAUGUGAAAGCUCUUUUAGUUUGUUGACAUUUAGGCGAAUUACGGAAUUUAGAGAAUGCGAAAUAAAAACACGAGAUUUGUAUGACCCAGAAAUUUAGUAACGUAUAUGGCUUAAAGAAGCGAGAUUACGAUUUGUUAAUAGUUCAGUAUGUCAAAAAUUCUUUGAAUAGCUAAAUGCUACAGACGAAACACUCAGUCAAAAGGUCCUCGAGUUGUUUGUUCAAAUAAUCGAGAAGAGGUUAUUUUUUCUUCGAGUUUUACGUCGGUUACCUAAGACUAAAUACAUCUACUUAGAAAAUACGAAAACCCCAAGUAAAGCUUCACAUAAAUAAGGUUGCAAAACAAACUGAACAUUUAUACUUAUGAACAUGUAGAUAAAUUGCCAAAAAAAAGGUUGACGAACUCUAAGAUUACGAAUAAUUAUAGAAAAUGAAGAAGCUUUGGUGUUCUAAAAUGUCAAACUUAUAUAUAAGAGUUUGGAACCAAAGCGUGAAACAUGCUUACUCUUCGUCAAUAAUUUCUUCCUCCAAUCGAAUACCUUCUUUGGCAAGUGUAUCAAUCAAUGGACCGCAAAGCUUCAUAUCAUUAGGAGCCAAAACACCUGGGGUGUUAAUAACACCAUCAAGAAUUUGCUGAGUAGCAACACCACAAGGAACGCCGACUAAUUUUGCCAUAGAGGUGUAGCCAUUAGGAACACCGUAGUCAAGCAAAGUGCAAGUACGAGUUUGGCGUUUUCCUUCUUUGGUUUCAACUUCAAACUUGUGUUGAAGGAUUAACAUAUCACGUUCACCUUCUUCGUAUUGCAUAAGUUCCUCCAAGGUAGCGCAUAAGGUGUCCAAAGGAUUACCACGAGGAGUAACGGGUUUGCUAGAGAACAUACCAAGCCACUUCAAACCAUUCAAAAUGCGCUUCUUGUCGUCUUCAUCUUUGAAUUUGUGGAUGGAAGAAAUUUUCUUGAUUAGGUCGGCUUCGGAGGAAGAUUCAGCCUUGAUGACACGAGCAGUAACCUCCUUCCAAGGCAAAGCGGGUGCUUCAGGAGAUAAGUAUUCCUGAGCUGUCUCAUCCAAAAAUCCCAUAUCAACCAAACAAUGAAUAAACUCGGGAAAUCCUUGGUAACGUAAAGUACCGCGAAUGAUAGUUUCUGCUUCAGGUAUUUGAUAGCGCUCUUGGUAGACAGUGGAAUCACGAUUAGGAUAACAAACGAAAGCGUAACCGGGAUAGAUGAAAUAGGGUUUAGCAGUUUCCAUCAAAUCCUUGCCGUCAAUUUCAACAAGUUUGCCGUUUUCAUAAAACUUGGCAGAGUUGCGAAGAGCCAACAAAACACCACGAGAAGACCAAGAAAACUUGUAUCCUAAAGGAUUGUUGGAGUCCUCGGGAGCGGGAAGACCUCCACAAUAAGACAAGAAAGACUUAAUCUUACCGCCAGCUUUAUGAACCUCUUCAAUGGUCUUGAUAGCAUAUAAAUGAUCAAUACCGGGAUCGACGCCGAUUUCGUUCAUACAAAUAGAACCAGCCUUGAUGGCAGCUUCCUCCAACUCAGCCAUUUUGGGAUUCACAUAACUGGUGGUACAAACGUGUUUACCAUGCUUAAUGGCAGCUUUCAUAACUGUUGCAUGAUAAGUGUAAGGAAUCAAGCUGAUGGUAAGAUCAUGUUCGGAAACAGCUUUCUCAAGAGCUGCUUCAUCAUUGACAUCCAAAGCAAUGGCUUUGCUGUUUGGGAUACCAUUAAUAAAUGCUUCAGCCUUAGAAAGAGUUCUGCAUGCUACGGUUAUAUUAUUUUCUUUACGACGAGAUAAAUAUUCUAAAGUAGGAUGAGCGACAAAUCCCGAACCAAGUAAUAAGAUGGAAGGCAUUUUGAUGUUGAAAAUGAAAGAGGCAGUCAGUUAAGGACAAGUGGUAAACCAAAGACUUCUGUUUUGUCGUCACGGUUUUAGCGAUAUAUAAGGGGUUCCUUUUUAUCCACAGAUUUAUUUCUGAUGGCCGAAAUCGUCGUCUAAAUUGAUGAAAACUGAUUAUCUCGAAUCGGUUAAAAAAGCAGUCACAUGGACCAUUUUUUGAAUUAAUAUUUAAUCGUUACGUUUCCUCUCAAUGUUAUGUUUGGCUUACUAGGGGAAUUCGUUAUUAUCGACAAGUUUAGUCGAUAAUUUGUUAGCAGCGAUGUCGCAACUGAUAGUUUUAGCAACUUUUUUUACGUAGUUUUUUUCUGCAGAACAGAAGUUGCUUAAAAGCUAGUAGAUGCCAUUCGUUGUUGUUUGGGGGUAGAUUAAAGAAUUCUAAGCUUUAGUAUAAGAAUAAUUUGUUUCUCCUCUUUCUGCCUAUCUGUUGUUCAUAAUCAACUGCGUAGUUCUGGUGAAGGAGUAAAUUAAACUGCCUCGCACCGCCGUACUCAUUUUUACCUCGAGUAUGGUGGCCGUGGAAUGGUGGUUUUUUAUGCAGUCGGGAAUGAAAGCAGCUGUAAUUUCCUUGCAUAAUGAGCCUAAAUACCUUUUUACAUAGAAGUUAAAAUUUAUGAGAUUUUAAAUUAAAAAAUCAUCAAAAGUGCAAAUUUUCAAGUACAUAUACGAAUAAAUUUAAU
RNAcentral lists this unclassified non-coding RNA (2977 nucleotides) under Schizosaccharomyces pombe (fission yeast). Its description in RNAcentral is "antisense RNA (predicted), possible alternative UTR". The stretch from base 2702 to 2888 matches the Rfam family "small nucleolar RNA snR100". The record is from RNAcentral. Lineage: Eukaryota; Fungi; Ascomycota; Schizosaccharomycetes; Schizosaccharomycetales; Schizosaccharomycetaceae.